This 426-nucleotide ribosomal RNA is filed under the name uncultured bacterium. Its description in RNAcentral is "bacterial SSU rRNA". It matches the Rfam family "Bacterial small subunit ribosomal RNA", at positions 356 to 774 of the family's 1533-position model. The record is from RNAcentral.
GGGGAAUAUUGCACAAUGGGCGCAAGCCUGAUGCAGCCAUGCCGCGUGUAUGAAGAAGGCCUUCGGGUUGUAAAGUACUUUCAGCGGGGAGGAAGGGGUUAAGGUUAAUAACCUUAGCCAUUGACGUUACCCGCAGAAGAAGCACCGGCUAACUCCGUGCCAGCAGCCGCGGUAAUACGGAGGGUGCAAGCGUUAAUCGGAAUUACUGGGCGUAAAGCGCACGCAGGCGGUCUGUCAAGUCGGAUGUGAAAUCCCCGGGCUCAACCUGGGAACUGCAUUCGAAACUGGUUCCCUUGAGUGCGGAUGAGGUAGGCGGAAUUUGUGGUGUAGCGGUGAAAUGCAUAGAUAUCACGAGGAACUCCGAUUGCGCAGGCAGCUUACCAAGCCGUAACUGACGCUCAAGCACGAAGGCGUGGGGAUCAAACA